This 455-nucleotide ribosomal RNA is filed under the name uncultured bacterium. RNAcentral describes it as "bacterial SSU rRNA". It matches the Rfam family "Bacterial small subunit ribosomal RNA", at positions 28 to 507 of the family's 1533-position model. The record is from RNAcentral.
GACGAACGCUGGCGGCGUGCUUAACACAUGCAAGUCGAACGGGAGUAUUGAAGAAGCUUGCUUUAGAGAUACUUUAGUGGCGGACGGGUGAGUAACGCGUGAGGAGCUGUCCUAUGCAGGGGGACAACAGCUGGAAACGGCUGCUAAUACCCCAUAAGCCGAGAGGUAAAAGGAUCAAUCCGGCAGAGGAGGUACUCGCGUCCUAUCAGCUAGUAGGUGAGGUAACGGCUCACCUAGGCGAAGACGGGUAGCCGGCCUGAGAGGGCGAACGGCCACACUGGAACUGAGAUACGGUCCAGACUCCUACGGGAGGCAGCAGUGGGGAAUAUUGGGCAAUGGGGGAAACCCUGACCCAGCGACGCCGCGUGGGUGAAGAAAUCCUUCGGGAUGUAAAGCCCUGUUGUAUGGGAAGAGCGGAAGACGGUACCAUACGAGGAAGCCCGGCAAACUACGUG